CCUUCCCCAUACAAUGCUCCCGCGGCCCCCAGCUCCUAGCCCAGCGCGCACCUCCUUGCACGAUCCACCCUGGCGCUGCUGCCUCCCGGAGCGCAAGGAGGCCGAGCGGAAUUUCCCAGGCCAAGCAGGCUAGAUCCGGAGACCCACAAAACAGACCCACCAUCAGCUGAGAGCCAGGAGGCACGGGGAGGGCAGUGCUGCCUGAGGACAGGCGGGACUGCUACGCGCGCGGGCUGGAGAGUCCUGGUGUCUGAGCCCAGACUCCCCGACUGCGCAGCAGCCUCAGCAACCUGGUGUGCCAAGCUACUGCGCUCUCCUCCCAAGUGCUAAAGGAUUUCACAGGCAGCAAUAUAGGAGGGCCUCCCUGGUCCAGGUGCAGUGGUUAAAGACAGCGCUAUCAAGCUAUGGCCAGCCACUGCAGCAGGAGUUGGAUUCCUGGCCGGCCAGACAGCAACCCACAUGGCACAGCAGACCUCAUCUGCCUCACCAGCUGCUGAGCAGUGUGUUUCAGUAGAUCUGCCUCUUCUGCCCCCCACUCUGUUUCUGGUGAAUCCUCUCACCCUCAGCACCUCUGGCUUAUA
Molecule: long non-coding RNA, 581 nt
Organism: Talpa occidentalis (Iberian mole)
Lineage: Eukaryota; Metazoa; Chordata; Mammalia; Eulipotyphla; Talpidae
Exons: 3
Source: RefSeq, a predicted model, not a curated record